This is a long non-coding RNA of Clupea harengus (Atlantic herring), 309 nucleotides long. Lineage: Eukaryota; Metazoa; Chordata; Actinopteri; Clupeiformes; Clupeidae. The record is from Ensembl.
UAGCCCGUGAGCAGCAGGCCGAUGGGCUGCUCAUAGGCCAGGCUCUGCACCUGCUGGUCAGCGCUUUACUGGAGUUGAGAAGUGACUGCUUGGACCGGAUAAAGUCUUGCUUGUCCUCUGGUUUGCUGCCUCCUCUCAGCCAACUAAUGGAUCAUCUGAUGAAGUCCCAGCCCUUCCCGUUGGACGGCGUGCCCCACCUCCUGCAGUGUGAGGAGGCGUUCCACAGGGUGGAGUCACUCUUCCACUCCGCCAGUCUUCAGCUGCUCAGACAGGCAGACAAGCUGCUGCUGCUGGAGUCGAAGGAGGCAG